CCCCCGCUCCCCGCCAGCAGCCAGCCCUGCGGGACCAUCACCCUCAGAGGUGCAGAGAAGCACAUGCCACUCAACCUCGGCCUUCCCCAAGAGGAACGGGCCCCAGUCCCACCCCAGGAGAGCAGACCUCCACAGCCCAACCGUGGAGGCCAGCGCACAGGACAGGCGUACCCAGCCCCUGAAUCGCCUCGCCCGAGAAGGGGUGCCCGCAGGCUCAGAGCUUCACUGACACCAGGCAGGGCACGAGCCGCACCCGCCAUGAUUCUGCCCUUGUCCGAGGAGAGGGGGCCCAUGCUUGAAGGGCCACAGAUGGAUCCGUGAGCCUGGGGCAGAAAUCUGGUAGUGGAGGAGGUAGGGACGAGAGGGGGAAAUGAGAGCAGAAAUAAUGCCAUGAGGAGCCUCAUUCCUUGACUGUGAACGUCACGCUUUUACGAGGAAAUAAAGAGCCCCUGACAUUUGGGAACCCGGAGCAGGUGUGGUGGUCAAAUCUUCUCAAGGGGCCUCCUAUGAAGGGAAUGCAGUGGAUCCCCUGCCUCCACCUGGACUGCCCUGCCUUCUGGGGCAGGCACCCUGUGCAUCUGCGGGAAGUUCUCUGAUCCGCGUGGGGUCCGGGUGUAGAGGCUUCUUACUCUGCACUAACCAGCUGUGUAACUGACCACAUCCAGACGUGCUUAAAAAUGGCUGACACCUGCCGAGACCAAGGCAAUCAUUCUGUGUCACGGCCACUUUGAACUGCCAUCAAACUGGGCUCCCGAGAUAUUUGCUCUCUCCGUGGGAUCACAGGUGACUUCAGAUAAUACUAUAGCAAAAACUGUCUCAAAAUACCUCCCAGCAAUGCAGCGAAACAAAACCCCUUUAUUCCCAAAUGCCAUGGCAAUUGUCCCCAAACAUGAUCUCGUCCUUUUGGGUACAUUGUUUAAAGAAAUAAAUAA
This is a long non-coding RNA of Suricata suricatta (meerkat), 932 nucleotides long. RefSeq lists it as uncharacterized. Lineage: Eukaryota; Metazoa; Chordata; Mammalia; Carnivora; Herpestidae. The record is from RefSeq and is a predicted model, not a curated record. The transcript has 3 exons.